Molecule: ribosomal RNA, 207 nt
Filed under: Triticum aestivum (bread wheat)
Lineage: Eukaryota; Viridiplantae; Streptophyta; Magnoliopsida; Poales; Poaceae
Description: partial small subunit ribosomal RNA
Source: RNAcentral
AUGACCACCCGGGAGCGGGACGCAGCAUGGGGCAUGCAGCCUCGGGGGCGACCACAGGCGGAGGGGCGGCGGCACUGCCACGGCGAUGGUGACGAAAAGGGCUAUGCCAAUGACGAGGAUGCGCCGUCCUGUGCGGUCGUUCCAGGGGCGUGUCGAUGUCGAGACCCCGAACGCUACCGGAGAGACGGCGCGACGCCGCGGCGGUGA